RNAcentral lists this transfer-messenger RNA (268 nucleotides) under Olisthodiscus luteus. RNAcentral's name for it is "Standard tmRNA". It matches the Rfam family "transfer-messenger RNA". From Rfam's summary of the family: Bacterial tmRNA, also known as 10Sa RNA or SsrA, is named for its dual tRNA and mRNA-like properties. Its role is to liberate the mRNA from a stalled ribosome. The record is from RNAcentral. Lineage: Eukaryota; Olisthodiscophyceae; Olisthodiscaceae.
GGGACUGCUAAUGGGUUUCGACAAUUAAAACGUUCCUCUAUUUCUUUGUAAUUAAAAUUAUUUUCAAAAAAUAAUUGCAAAUACUAUUUUAUCAUUUAAACGAAAUUUAAGCUUAGCUGUAUAGAGUUAUAAUCACUUAAAUCAUAUAAUUUUUUAAUUAUUAAAAAAUAAAAAUUUGAAACUUGCGUUAAUGUUAAUAUUAUGUUAUAUUAAGGAGUAGAGAAAAACUUUUAAUUGGACGUGGGUUCAACUCCCACCAGUUCCAAGA